AUCCACCUAACGAGUUCCAAAUAGGACGAGACGUGCGUCCUGGAU
RNAcentral lists this non-coding RNA (45 nucleotides) under Schistosoma mattheei. Lineage: Eukaryota; Metazoa; Platyhelminthes; Trematoda; Strigeidida; Schistosomatidae. The record is from RNAcentral.